This 468-nucleotide ribosomal RNA is filed under the name uncultured bacterium. Its description in RNAcentral is "partial 16S ribosomal RNA". It matches the Rfam family "Bacterial small subunit ribosomal RNA", at positions 28 to 507 of the family's 1533-position model. The record is from RNAcentral.
GACGAACGCUGGCGGCGUGCUUAACACAUGCAAGUCGAACGGAAAGGCCCUGCUUUUGUGGGGUGCUCGAGUGGCGAACGGGUGAGUAACACGUGAGUAACCUGCCCUUGACUUUGGGAUAACUUCAGGAAACUGGGGCUAAUACCGGUUAGGAGCUCCUGCUGCAUGGUGGGGGUUGGAAAGUUUCGGCGGUUGGGGAUGGACUCGCGGCUUAUCAGCUUGUUGGUGGGGUAGUGGCUUACCAAGGCUUUGACGGGUAGCCGGCCUGAGAGGGUGACCGGCCACAUUGGGACUGAGAUACGGCCCAGACUCCUACGGGAGGCAGCAGUGGGGAAUAUUGCACAAUGGGCGGAAGCCUGAUGCAGCAACGCCGCGUGCGGGAUGACGGCCUUCGGGCUGUAAACCGCUUUCGCCUGUGACGAAGCGUGAGUGACGGUAAUGGGUAAAGAAGCACCGGCUAACUACGUG